GAUGAACGCUAGCGAUAGGCCUAACACAUGCAAGUCGAGGGGCAGCACAUGAGGUAGCAAUACCGAUGGUGGCGACCGGCGCACGGGUGAGUAACACGUAUGCAACCUGCCUUCAACAAGGGCAUAACCCGUUGAAAGACGGACUAAUACCCUAUAAUACAGGGGCCCCGCAUGGGGAUAUUUGUUAAAGAUUUAUCGGUUGAAGAUGGGCAUGCGUUCCAUUAGCUGGUUGGUGGGGUAACGGCCCACCAAGGCAACGAUGGAUAGGGGAACUGAGAGGUUUAUCCCCCACACUGGUACUGAGACACGGACCAGACUCCUACGGGAGGCAGCAGUGAGGAAUAUUGGUCAAUGGACGCAAGUCUGAACCAGCCACGUCGCGUGAAGGAAGACGGCCCUACGGGUUGUAAACUUCUUUUAUACGGGAAUAAAGUGCCCCACGCGUGGGGUUUUGCAUGUACCGUAUGAAUAAGGAUCGGCUAACUCCGUGCCAGCAGCCGCGGUAAAU
Molecule: ribosomal RNA, 508 nt
Filed under: uncultured bacterium
Lineage: Bacteria
Description: bacterial SSU rRNA
Rfam family: Bacterial small subunit ribosomal RNA
Source: RNAcentral